This is a non-coding RNA of Pelobates cultripes (western spadefoot toad), 101 nucleotides long. The record is from the annotation of a GenBank genome assembly. NCBI's taxonomy places the organism in Eukaryota, Metazoa, Chordata, Amphibia, Anura, Pelobatidae.
UGUCGGGAGGCAAGGGGAGGGAUCUAUGAAGCAGCUCCCCUGUCCUCCCGCGAGCAAGCAGGGGAGCUGCUUCUCAGAUCCCUUCCCCUGCCUCCCGACAC